CUUCCUCCCAGAAGGAUGCUGGAGAGGCAAAGACCAACAAGUCUACCCUGGGGACCCAUGUGCCUGUCUUUCCUGCAAGGUCUGUUAAAGGUUAGUAGCAUAUUCAUGUCUGUAUUAUAAUACAACCCAAAACCUGAGGCAAAGAGAAGGAAUUUCCUGUUACUGUGAAGAACAGCAGAUAGAUAGUCUGCAUGGCCAGGGUAUACCAGGACCUGUCUUCUCUGUCUCCUGCCAAACCAUGUUUAGGGAGGGCUUGUGCUGCAAUGCUGUGGAAAGGAGCAGCCCUUGCUUUCCAUUCCAGCUGCUUUUGUUUGGACAGGUAAGUAUGGAUGUGAAUUCCUCCCUUCUGAAAAGGCCAGAAGAGCCUGUUCCAGGUGACAGGGAUACAAACUGAAAGGGCUUCUGUGGAUUUAAUGGGAAAGGCAUAUUUUAACAGCUGUUUUUGUUCCAGAAGACUGACUUGGCCUACAAGGAAAUGGAUGGGAAGCAGUACAGGCAAGAGGCAUGGAUGAGCUGCACAGCAUCUCAUAAUUCCUGGGCAGCAGCCUAGCCACAGGGCCUGUUUUCUAUCUCACAGCUUUCCAUGGGAUAAGGUUGGUGGCAAGUGGUGCUUAGUUUCUUCUCUGCUUUCAGGUUUCUCUGCUUUUUGGAAUGGCAUCUACUGAUGCUGGAGACCAAGUGUUGGCCAGGGAUACUCAGAGUAUUGCAGAUCUGCCUGGGAAGGAGAAGCUGCUUGGAUAAGGAGCAGUUGCUCUGAGCAGGAGGUUCCAACCUGCUCCGGUUUUAACCUCCAGAGAGAGAAAGGAAGUUUUUGUGGCCAAUUCAAAUAAUCCUGGUGGUACUUCCAGUGCACGUUCCACAGCUGGAAACUGGAGUCAACCUGAGGCAAGUCCUUGGGUCAGCAGCACUGCGUGGAGCGUAUGGAAAGGUGGGUAAGAACAAGAAAGACACUGAUUGUGAAUGAGCAACCAGAGCACAGAGAUGCUGGGCUCUGUCUCAUCACAACCACUGCACAUUGCUUUUGUUCACUGGAGAGGUGGUAAUGGGAAGAGUCCAAGAUGCUCCUCUCCACAGUUCCCAAGUUACUCCAUUGAUCAUCUCUGGUGGGUUGACCCUGGCCAGCUUCCCACAAAAAACAAUUCAUCACUCCCCUCCUCAGCCAGAGAGGGGAGAGAAUGUAAUGGGCUGCAGGGGGAUAUCUGCUCCACAUGGACCUCCAUGGACUGCAGGGGGAUUGUGCAUUGUCUCUGCAGAGAUUUGGGAGAAGGGUGGGCCAGGAGAGGAAAAAAUGUGUCCCUUUUACCCGGUUAAGAUCUGGAAUUCCUUUGCAGCUAAUGUGCAGCUCAUGUGUCUCCCAACGUGACUCUUGCUGUAUUAUAUUUAGCUGUAAAACCCAACUGUGCUUGGGUUUCCCUCUGCAGCUCUUGGAGGAGGGAUUUUAUCCCUGCCCUCUGUUGAGCAUCCUUUCCAGAUCUCACCCUGUUGUGCUCAUCUCUUGCAGGCCAUUCUUCUCACUGAGAGUUACACUUGGAGCAGGGAAGGAGAACAGGACUGCAAGGCCAGAUAGGAUUGUUUGGGUUGGACAAAGAUGCUUAGCCCUUCCUGGGCUGUGUAGCUUGAUGUAGCAGGUAGGUUUAUUUAUUCUCAUCACACUAAGACUUUUAUUCAUGCUUCUUGGGCAGCUCAGCUGAGGAGCACUUUGAGCUUUGGAGCCAGGAGGAAUUCAUGCUGUUGGUAGAUAGCCCUGUGCCCACUGGGUAGCCUGGGAGGAAGGAAAGGCGUUCUCCUCCAGUUUUAAUGUUCUCUGGCUCUCAGCUUUUCAUUCCUGGCCACACAAGUGUCAAAAAAGAGCUGUUUUGAUGUUUAACUGCAUUAGAGGGCUGUAACCUCAGGGCCCACGUUAACAGUAUCCUUUUGCAGCCAAAGUGGAGGGUGAGAGACCAGGGUGUCUCACAGCUACAUACUGUUCUAUUGUGCUGUGGUUUAGAUCUGCUGGUGGGAGCAACCAGAAGCUGUGUGUGAAUGGGUGUUAAACGUGUUUCUGCGUUCAAAUGUCACUUUCUCAAGUAUCAUGUGCUGUAUUUGCAUGGGGCUUGUGGGAUCUCAGUGUGCAACCACAAAAAGCAGCUGGAGCACAGGACCUCCUGAAGGCAUCCAUCCAGAUGCUUCUAGUGCUUUGGGUGGCAUAGUCCAGUGUGAGGUGUCCCUGCCCGUGGCAGGGAGUUGGAACUGGAUGAGCUUUAAGGUCCCUUUAACCUAAACCAGUCUGGACUCUCUGAUGCACUUGCAGGCUUGACUGAAAGUCCAUUUUGGUAGAAAAACUUCCACUGGUGCCAGCAGAGGCUGGGUCACAGCUUGACAAUGGGCUUUUGUGAUGGAGAACCCACCUUCAUACCACCAUUGCACUGCAAGGUAAUGGAGCUGCAUCAGCCAUGUACCACCUGCUGCCUGACAGCAAGGGGAGGAGAAGCACCUCACUUGCAAGUCUCUGGGGUGGACCAGGGGUUUCAGCCCAUGGCUGGGCUCCAGUUGUCUUCCUGGAGUGUUUGUGGCAGCUCCUGUGCAUCCUUUGAGCUCCACAACAAGAAGCAUGGUGAGGGAUUACUGUGAACAUGGGAAGUUUCUCACCUCAGGCCAAGCCCAGGAAUGUGGGAUGGAUUUGGACCAACUUCUAUUUUUCUUUUAGAAUUUUAUUUAAAAAUAAAAAUAGAGCCUUGGGCAAGAGCCAGAAAAAUCUGAUCCCAAAAGGUGGAUGUGUUGUGGAGUGGGGAGCAUGUGAAAACAGCUGCUUAAACUGAAACCAUUUCACAGAUUGAAGUACAGAAACUUCCCAAAACCUGUUCUAAAACCUGGAGUGAACUCUUCUUGAAAGGCAGAGGUAGGAGAAGAGGCCAUCAGCAAGUCACCUGAACCACUCCCAAAGCCACAGGCAGCUGCAGGACCCAGAGAGAAGCCAAGCCAAAUGAGAAGAGGCUUUUGGACCGUGUAAGGACUCUACAGCAGCACGUUGUGCAGUGGAGGAAGGGCUGGUGUGAGGUGAGAGCCAAAACUGCACUGCCCUAUGCCAUGAAAACCAGUGGACGGGCUGCUGAAGGUGGGAAUGGGGUCCUGGGGAGAAGGAGGUCUGCAGCUGGGAGGCUUUACAGCCACUAUUGGUGUCAUUACAGCUGAACAGGGGCUAAUUACAGCAAGGCUUUGAUGCACAAGGUGCUGCAUUGAUCUCAUCCUGGGCAGCACAGAAAAGGGGGAGCAGUGCUCUUGAGCUGCCUGGAUGGUUUCCAAUAAGCACAAUGUGUGGCUGUCAUUGUCCUCUUUGUGAUGGACUGUGCUCUGCUGGAGCCCAAGGCCUCAAAACCACAUCUUGUAGGUGGAUUAAGUUAAAAUAAGGAAGAAAUUAGAUUUUCUUGCUCAAUGAUCUGUGAUGUGUCCAUUUUUAGUGGAUGAAUGUGCCUACACGUGUCUGUGCUCUAAAGGAUGCUUGACUCCAUUUGCUAUACUAUAUAUAGAAUAUAGCCUGCCUAUACUAUAGGUAGGCUAUUUUCUUUACAGGUUAAUACUGCUUUCCUAUGCACUCAGGAGAUCAAAAGGGGCUGCCUUAUGGGAUGCUUUAAGGAGAUGCCUUAUGUUCAGCCCAAUCCCACUGAGGUCCUCCCAGAGGACCCCUGAGGACAGCAGUGGGGGGCAGUGGUGCUUCAGCUUGAUGCCUCCUUCCCAGCUUCAUACUUAAUGGGCACUGGCUUUUGAACAUGGUGAAACCACACAGCAGCAAAUCCACAGCUGAGUAAGUCCACAGAGAACUGAUCUCGCCUACUUGCAAGAACCCAUGCUACAUUUGCUUUUGAUUCAAUGGUGGAGAGGAAAAGGAAGGGAGAGGACAUUUUGGCGAAGGACCUGGCAGCACAGCAUGGAAGGUGAGGCUGAUCUGAAAGCAGUGCUCAAUUAGCCCAAGGCAACUGGGACCAAAUGCAGCAUCUUGAAGUUACUGUCUUCUCUUAGGUAGCUGAAGGACUAUCCUUUAUUAGGAUCAGAAACUUCCAGCUAUGUGGGCUUGCCUUCCAAAACUAUGCACAUAUCCAGACUCUUUCCAGCUGGGCGCACUCUUCUGGAGCCGAGAUUCUGGAAAGGACAAGCAGCUCUUCCCUUGUUUUACCUGAACAUAUCUGUAUGCUGCCUGCUCCUGUCCCACAUCCUAAUGCAUCUCCUUUGCUGCAGCACUGGGAUGUGGGUGCCCACUACAGCCCUUGUUUUAAGCCUCCUAGAAGAAAACUUGUAUGUGAAGGUUGGAGAGGGUCAUGCUUGUUCUGUGCUUUCUAACAAUCUCUCACUGGCAAGGGGCCACCCUGGAGUGUCCAAUUCCUUGUCAUUACCUAGAGAAAAGCUGGUUUUGCCUUCCUUUGGCUUUCUUAGAAGCUGGGCAUGAGGAAAGGUGCUCUCCUCUCCAAGGUGACAUGGUGCAAAUCCUCACACUAGCACCCAGUGGAUGUAGGACAGAGAAAGGCUUUCCAAUGCCACAUCAUAGUGCUGGUGCAUCACAGAAUCGUUUCACCAGGGUGCUGGGGUAUGUCUGCUCUUCCAGGAUGAGGAGGCAUAAGGCAAAAUCAGAGCAGGAUGAGCAGAGAGCUACUGAAUAAGUUAUUAGGGAAGAAAAAGCUGGUUUUCAGGUUCCAGAAUUUGGGAGCCCACAGCUUUUCCAUCACCUUGGGUUAGAAAGGGUGACAAAGUGGCCAUGGGCUGGAGUUUCCAGCUAUCUUUGUUGAUUCCAAGGGGAAAGAUGUAUAUGCUGAAGCCUGACCAAAGCCCCUCCUGGAGGAUCCAUUUCCUGGGAACUCUCACUUUGAUGGCUGUGAAAUCCAUAACAUUUUUCUUCUUGUAUCUGGGAAACUGCAGUUGAGCUCCUGUGGGGCUGGUCUUUGCUUAAAUAAAUUACAGUAAAAAUAACUCCCAAAUGCAACACCAACAUGGGCACGUAAAUCAAAGUCUGGCGUGCCCAUUAAGGUAAAGUGUCUCCUUCUGCAGGAGCUGUCUGUGGAAGUGCCAUCCUGAAAGUGAAAUCCAACUGAGAGGGAGGAGGUAAGGUCCCAUCAAGAUAGGACUCACAAAUCCAUCAGCAGCUUCACUUCAGAAGAGAUACAAGGCUUUAACAGGGCUGUCAGCAGCAUUCUUCAGGUCACACUGCUGCAUAAAAGAGAGUGUUAGAACCUGGGACUUAAACUAAACAGAUUUCCUAUAGGAAACACACACAAAAUUACAUUGCUUCUAAAGUUACUUUUAUAGACAUUUUCCCUGAGAAAUAUUUCUCCCUGGAAAAAUAAAUUCACAGGAUGUAAUUAAAACAGUUCUAUGUGUACACUGGACUGGCCCCCUUUAAGUGCUUCACCAAAUGCACCACUAAAUAAAGGAAUGAAAGCCAGCUUUGUUUAACUCUAUUAAUAACAAUAUGUAUUAAUUAUAAAAUGAGACAUUGUCCUGCCUGGUUUAUGGUUAUGAAAAUAGCCUUUAAUAAGGCUGAGACUGGAGUGCUCAGCUUUGCAGUUGUCUGCACUGUUAAUAGGGCUUUCAAAAUCUCCCCUAAUCUACUUCUUUUACUUGUCAAAUCCUGGCUUGAUAAAGGCAAUGGGGCUCAGAUUCCACACCCCAUGGAUUCUGGCAAUAACCAGGUGCUGAUGACUGUAAUCUUUUCUGCUUUUCUUGCCAUUUAGCUUUGGUUAAACAAAAAGGGGCAACUGCAUUGUAUUAGUUUAACUUCCAUGCUUUGGGGAACAAAGCCUGAAGAGAUUUGUAGUGAUCUAUCACUGCAUUAAAUGCUCCCAAAUCUGCUUGGAUAAUUAGGGAUAAUGAUUCCCUCCAUACCUGCAUGGCCCAGUCCAGCCACAUGUGGGAAAGGAAGGCAGUCUGUUUAUGAGGCCCUCAGUGCCAUGGGCACAACUGGCCAGGUUUUGUGUCUCUCUCUGCAGCACACAAGGUGAUGGCUAUAAUGCAUCUCCAGCCCGGGACUUCUUUAUUGAGUGGAGAGGGCUCAAUUCAAUAAAUAUACAUCCGGCUCCUUCGCAGUCCUAGGCUGGCUUAAUGAAACUGUGCGAGGCACUUCCAAGAGAAGGAUGUUUAUUUUUCUCUGCUGAUUCAGUUAGGCUGGUCCAGCUCUUGUGUGCCCAGAGAGCUGCUCUAUAAAGAGACCCUUGUGAUUGCAGCGGGGAUGCUGUGUCAGGCAGUAAGUGCCUGCACUCACUCAACACUGGGAUUCGCUUGCUGCAGGGAAGGGGGUGCGGGCGGACGGCUGGAUUUGCUAUACACAAUGCACGGGGAGAAAAAAGCCUGCUAAGAGCACAGUGUUAAGGUGGGAAAGUCAAGCACUUGCAAGGCAGAUAGAGCUAGAGCUGUCUGGAGAGCAGGCUUAAUUCAUCUGUUUAUGGGAGCACAUUAUGAAACACGCUCCCAUUUUUGCAUAGUCCUGUGCUUGUUUCUUAGGUAAUAGCAUUUUCUACCUUUUGCCAGAACUUGCCACCUUCACAGAGUACUUUUCCCGUAGAUAAUCCAACACCACAAAGAUCCCAAUGCCUGUUCCUAGCUGGAAGCAGCAGUGAAGUCAGGCAGCUCCAAAAGGAAGGUGGAGAUGUAGAUACUGCCAUGGAGGACUUGGUGAGCCUUUUAUCACUAAUGCAGGCUUAUGAGCUGCUUGGUCAGUGCUGGUGAGACCAAGUUUGAUGGCAGCAGCCCUACUGCAAGACACUGGGAGUCCCUUAGGCCUGCCUCAAAUGCCUUGAUGGGUUGGACUACAUGGAUUUCAAAGGUCCAUCCAACCCAAACCAUUUAACUUCUCUAUGUGUCAGGAGGCAAACGCUGCUUUGGGACAUUCUGCCUCUUUGCAAUGAAGUAGGAAAACCUGGCAGUGGCAGUGGGGAUGGACUCAUGCAGAAAAGCCAGAUGCAUUCAGAUGCCAGUAGUUCAGGGUGAUUGCUGUCCUCUUUGGGCCUUGCAUUGAAUGUUCACAGAAUAAACCAUGUUCUUUGCCUGAGGGACCUUCAGCCAAAGCCACAAGGCAGAGGAAGUGUCCCUCUGACAAUGCCAGCAUUGUCAGCAAUAAGCAGUGGGAAAUCAGGAGUCAGGUCCCUCCUGACCCUUAGUUCCUGAUGUGCAACUGAUUUUGCAAAGCACCAGAUUCAAACAACCCAUGGAUUUAGUUCUUUCAUUUUUGCCUUCCCAUUCACAAUCUCAGCUUUCUACGCAGUGAGGAAGCCCACAGUGUAUUUCUGAAUGAAAGCUGAGUGCCUUUCACAGCAUCUUUGGCUCUGCUUCCCACGACAGGGGAUUAGGAAAUCUCCAUCUUCCCACUGAAAGGAGGGAGGGCAAUGGCUCAGGGACCAUCAGAGACCUGCCAAAAAUCACAAAGUGAGGGGCAGGGGUGGGAACCCAGUUCCUAUGAGUGGUAAUCUGCUACCUUCCUACUUGUCUUGCCCUCAGCUGCUUUGGGACGAGCCAGUCUUGCUGCUUUGAGUUAGAUUUGCUUCCUACUUUGCUACUUAUGGCAAUGUUUAAUGGUUGUAAUAAACCAGAAGGCAUUCCUUUCAAAUUAGGUUGAUCUGCAAAACCCAACCAAGUGUUUCCAUUACUACAGCUGCUUAUCCCUUCAGCUGAGGACAGAGGCAGUAUGCUGCAGGCUGGAAAGGGUGUCCAUCCAUCUACAGGCUGCUGUCAGCUCUUGGGAGAAAUGGCCAUCUGGAGCCUUCCUCUGAUGGGCAGAUGUGGGAACAUCAAAGGAGAAGCAGGCACCUCCUUUACCUCAGUCACCAAACGGAACACCUCCUUGCAGGCAGGUUAGAAAACAACAUAAAAUCUGCUGAGGACAAGUUUCCUUUGACAGCAAAGAGCUGCCCAGAAAUGAGUCAAGCAGGAACGGUUCAGACCUCCCCCACUCUCACCAGGGGAUUUGCAGACAAAAGGGAUUUAUUUAUUUAUGUUUUUUUUUUUUUGCUAUUUUUUCUUUUCAGAAAAUACUCAGAUUUUGAUGGGAAAAUACAACUGGGAACUUUUUUCCUCCCUUUGUUUUUGCCUUUUGAACAACUUUUGUUGCCACUUGUGUGGAAUUGUCAGAAAUACCUUGAGGAAAGCAAAUGCAGGAAAAAAGAGAAGAGCUGUAACAGCUUGGGAGGAGAAGAGUUUAUUUCAUAGAUCAUAGAAUCACAGGAUAGUUUGGGUUGGAAAGGCCCUUAAACCUCAUCCAGUUCCAACCCCCUGCUACAGGCAGGGAUACCUUCCACUAGAGCAGCUUGCUCCAAGCCCCAUCCAACCUGGCCUUGAACACUGCCAGGGAUGGGGCAUCCAAAUACUUGUAAGCAUGUUUGCUCCAUGAGCUGGGGGCCUGUGGCCAAGGUAUGUGCUGCCACCCUCUUUCAGCCUAACCCACACCUCUCUGAGUACAACCAGGAUGAAAUGCAACCUUUUAUGGAGCAAGUUUUCCUUAAGGGUGCCAUUGCAUGGUGAAGCCAGUGUAAUCUUCCCUCUGGGACCACCUUGGGGCUGGCAUGCUCCAUGCAGGACUGACUGUGCUGCUCAGCUGGGAGCAGCAGGUGUACUGGUCAUCUGUCUCAUUUUGUGCCAUGCUGAAGCUGAGAGCAUGUCUGUAAGUACAGAAAUACGUAACAAUUUGUGGAGAAGAGAGACUGUGGUUAAAUGGAGGCAUUUGCUGCAAGAACUGAAUGAACCUCAAAUCGUGAGUGAUCCAGACACUGGUGUUCCAGCUUCAUCUGGCCUGUUUACCCUCACUUUGUUCCUCUCUGCUUUGUCCAUGGGGACAAAUACCAUAUUACAAGUAAACACGCUACAUCCUCUGCUGCCCUUCCUUGCCUGUCUGCACUUUCCCCAUGGGAGAAGAGAGAAGAGCCAGUUCUGCAUGACACAGUGAGUAAACAAAUCUAUUUUAAAGACAGAUUGUGCUGAGCAGGAGCGGCCUCUCCCUAAGAGCUUUGAAAACUGGCAUUGCAUUCCUGCUGGGAAAGCAGUAAAGUACAAAGGUUUCUGUCCCUUGCACUAACUAUCCCCUUGUGCACACAGGCAUUAUGGCUUUUGGUCUGGGGCCAUGUGUAUGAACGCCCAUGGACUAACAUGCCUUUUUCCUCUGGAUGAGACCAGCAAUCCAACACCACACUUUGCAGCUGGAAGAGCUCAUUAAAUCUAGUCCCAUUAAAUAUGUGGGGGCUGCAGACGACGCAACAGCUAAGAAAGCUGUUCUGAUCUGUCUUGUGCUAUAUUCAGGCACAGCAACGGGGAACUGAGAUGUAUGUGGCUGCUCCCCUGCUCAUGAGCAGACACAGAGGGUCAGUAGCUAGAUGCAGUUGUACAUUGGAAACCAAGAAGGGAACACAGAGGAGCACAAUGUGGUGGGUCUCUUCUGCUGGGAUGCCUGCAAACCCAGCGAAGGCAUCUCCCAAAGAGUGGCCAGUCCGGAGCCCAUACCAAUCCUAGAAAGCCUUUCAUAAACACAGGGAAGCCAAGCUGAGGGCUGGAGUUCCACCUGUCCCCACUGUCUAGUUCCCAGAUCUGGUCCCUUUGACUCAAGGAGAGCCAAAGGCACAGCGUGCCCAGAGAAGCUGUG
This is a long non-coding RNA of Pezoporus occidentalis (night parrot), 9589 nucleotides long. RefSeq lists it as uncharacterized. NCBI's taxonomy places the organism in Eukaryota, Metazoa, Chordata, Aves, Psittaciformes, Psittacidae. The transcript is spliced from 7 exons. The record is from RefSeq and is a predicted model, not a curated record.